AAAAAAAAAAAGAUGAAGAUCAUUUCAAUAUUCGUGGAGCAUUACUGUCUACAGUUUGGCUAAGACGCCCUCACACAUGUUAUAUACCAUCAAAUCAUUUUAGUCAGUUUACCAUGUAAUUGCAGCUAAAGAUGCCUGACUUUCUUCAUGUAAAACUUUUUUCUCCUUUUUUGCUUGUUUAUUUAUUUAUUUUGAUAGCAUUCAUAAAUUGGUGAUGCAUAGAUUUUAAGAACAUUCAUGUUUAACUGCUAAUUACUAACAUAAGAAAUAUCAAAAUUUAUCAUGAAGAAGAAGCAUAGAAAAUGAUACUUGAAAGACUGAAAUCAAGACCCAGAAUCUUGAGAUAUGUAAUGCAUCUUUAUCGCAAAGUACUAGCAUCUCACUCCGACCAAAAAAUUUACCUCAAGGGCAAGUCAUGGAACCCACAGACAAAUCAUUUCCAACCCAAAACACCUACCCCACAAAUAUGCAACUUUGAAAGAAAAGGAAGCAGGAAAAAAAGGACACAAUUGCCAAAUGUUCUAACUUGCAAAAUGGGUAAAAACAUAUUUUAAGGUGAUAUCAAAGCAACAUUAAAG
RNAcentral lists this unclassified non-coding RNA (578 nucleotides) under Hevea brasiliensis (rubber tree). Lineage: Eukaryota; Viridiplantae; Streptophyta; Magnoliopsida; Malpighiales; Euphorbiaceae. The record is from RNAcentral.